CCAUUACUGCUUUAAAACAGAUUCUCUGAAAAGGCCUGUGUUUGGAAGAAGAAAUUCUGUCCCUUAACGCUGUUGAAUUUUCCUGGCAAACCCCAUUACUGGCUCUAAGCAAGGAGAAGUUGCUGAACAGGGAAAGACAGUGAAUUACAGGGUUUCGCAGGCUCAAAUGGAGAAAAGCACUGCAGGAGUCAUAAAGCAGUAGCUUCAGAAACCUCCUGUGCAAACAAACAACACCGCAACUCAUAGAUUUAGGAGCAGAAUUCACUUUGUCCUUCAGCACUGCUUCACUUAACUGCUUCACUGCUAUCAGGAAUGCUACAGAAAAGCCCUCUGGGACGGCAUAUUUUUAUAGAAUUGAGCCUGUGAUACUGGUACCUUCCCCCCACCUAAUCAUCCCUGUCAGCCUCUCUCAUUUAGUGCCUGGGCCCUGUGACCAAGUUCAUCUCUUAACUUCCAGUAGUUGACAGCUUAUUGCUUUCUUAAGAUAGCACCCUAGACAUAUAAGGUGGUACCUAACACACCUGACUGUACACACUUGAUUUUACUCCUUUGUUUUUCAAUUUAGAAACAGCUGACUCUAGAUGGGAUUUAUUAUAGGGUGAAAUACCUGAUUCAGCAGGUGUAGCAUCACAUGGUGCCUUCCUCAAUGGCUGAUGCUUCUUCCUGAACUCAUUUUGAAGGUUACAAAAGGGGUUAAGCGAAUUAGGAGACGUGAUCAACCACUGGCUUAUCCAUCCUAAAGCAUCACAGCACUGCUCGCUACCAAAAGGGCCUUCUAGAGCUCAGCAAUGGCAAUGGAGUACCAGGCUUCUUCCAAGGAGAGCAAAGGAUGGUGAGAGCACACAAAACAAGAGGCUGCUACAUGCAAGAAUCUGACCAGGAUGAGGAGGUAGAAGAUGUGAGUCAGAUGUGCAGCAGGCUGGGUUAUUGGAAGGCAAUAACUUUCAAAGGGCAGAAGAGCUUUGCCUAUCUGGUGAAUUUAAUCAGAACAGAUGCAACUGAAAUUGCAGGGCUCUUAUGAGGACAAGCCGACAGCAGCUGCAUGUUGGGAAGCAGGAGAGCAGCACAUCAGAACUGAACCAGGAUUCCCCUUCUGCAGGGGCUCUGUGGGGCUUAGACACUAAAUGAGGCCAAAACGCCAUGGCAGGGAAGCUGUGAUAUACAUCUGACUGAAAGAUGCUGCCAAGAGGUGUUUUGGCAGGCUGAAGAACAUGGGCAUUGG
Long non-coding RNA from Pezoporus occidentalis (night parrot), 1222 nucleotides. RefSeq lists it as uncharacterized. The record is from RefSeq and is a predicted model, not a curated record. Lineage: Eukaryota; Metazoa; Chordata; Aves; Psittaciformes; Psittacidae. The transcript has 3 exons.